CUCUUGACAUCCAGAGAACUUUCCAGAGAUGGAUGGGUGCCUUCGGGAACUCUGAGACAGGUGCUGCAUGGCUGUCGUCAGCUCGUGUUGUGAAAUGUUGGGUUAAGUCCGCAACGAGCGCAACCCCUAUCCUUUGUUGCCAGCGAUUCGGUCGGGAACUCAAAGGAGACUGCCGGUGAUAAACCGGAGGAAGGUGGGGAUGACGUCAAGUCAUCAUGGCCCUUACGAGUAGGGCUACACACGUGCUACAAUGGCGUAUACAAAGAGAAGCGACCUCGCGAGAGCAAGCGGACCUCAUAAAGUACGUCGUAGUCCGGAUUGGAGUCUGCAACUCGACUCCAUGAAGUCGGAAUCGCUAGUAAUCGUAGAUCAGAAUGCUACGGUGAAUACGUUCCCGGGCCUUGUACACACCGCCCGUCACACCAUGGGAGUGGGUUGCAAAAGAAGUAGAUAGCUUAACCUUCGGGAGGGCGUUUACCACUUUGUGAUUCAUGACUGGGGUGAAGUCGUAACAAGGUAAGCGUAGCGAG
Molecule: ribosomal RNA, 530 nt
Filed under: uncultured bacterium
Lineage: Bacteria
Description: bacterial SSU rRNA
Rfam family: Bacterial small subunit ribosomal RNA
Source: RNAcentral